UUGGGCUUCAUGAAUGCUUGGAAGCUCUGCAGUUAAUGCUCUUGUAAUGUGGAGGAUGCGAUCUUUAAAGCUCUCACUUAAUGCACAUUCUCUUUUUUUUUUUUCACUUAUUCACUCUUUUUUUCUUGAUUCUUUGGGUGUUCCAAUGUAUUUAUAUCUUGAAAAAUCAUUGGAAGACUGUUUAUAACCAUCGGAGGACCAUUUACAGCCUUUAGAGGGGCUGAAAUAUCCAUUGAAAGUGAAUAGAGCCAUUUUGAUUUCACAGAAAAACUAAACGUUACUAUUGUCAGAUGCAGAGGGAUCGAUUCAUUUUCUUCAAAGGUCG
RNAcentral lists this long non-coding RNA (325 nucleotides) under Phoenix dactylifera (date palm). Its description in RNAcentral is "long non-coding RNA (PDAC_LNC005544)". Lineage: Eukaryota; Viridiplantae; Streptophyta; Magnoliopsida; Arecales; Arecaceae. The record is from RNAcentral.